UCGCCGCCGCCGACGGCGACAUCGUCUCCGUCUUCACCCGCAACCCCCAGGUUCUCAACGCCGACCUCAACAAGUCCAUCUUGCCCAUCCUCGCCGUCCUCCGCAAGCACAACCUGCCCGAGGAGAGAAUCUCUAGGCUCGUCAAGAUCCAUCCCAGAGUGCUCAUUCUCUCGCUCCGCCGCGUGAACGAGAUCGUCGACCAGCUUAAGGCCGCCGGGGUCCUGCCGUCCGAUCUGGCCUUCAUCUACGCGUUCCGCGUGGUCGCCGCACAGAAGAGCGCGAGCUGGGACCGGAAGGUGGCGGCCUUCGAGAGCUCCGGGCUCUCGGCGGCGGACGUCGCUUCGUCGUUCCGGAGGCACCCCUGGGUCAUGCUGACGUCCGCGGAGAAGAUACGGCGAAGCCUCGAGUUUUUUCUCCGCCGGCUGAAGCUCGCCCCCGACGACAUCGUUCGGCAUCCGAUUCUCCUCAAGUUCAGCCUGGAGAAGAGGAUCCUUCCCAGGUGCGCCGUGAUGAGCCUUCUUAAGAGGAAGGGGAAGUUGGAAGAGAGCGCGAGUGUCGUCCGGGCGCUGCUGGUGACCACGAGCUCAUUCUUGAAGAGAUAUGUGGUGAGGUAUCAGGAUGAUGUUCCUGCGGUUCUCAAGGCUUACAACGGCGAAAUCAAAUUCAAUGGAUGAUUGGGAAAUCGAUCGAAGUAGGAUGCUCGAAUUUAACUCUUAGGACGGCAAUGGUAAGAGAAUCGCCGGCAAGCACUCACUCUCUUGUACGAGGUAAUGAGCUUUUAAGCAUUUGCAGUUUGCAAGGAUCUUCCUUGUCUCCGAUUAGAAGCUUAACACCUCUUUUGUGCUGCUUACAUAGUACGCCGAACAAUUCUUGAUGCGUUAAUAGAGAAGCAACUAGCUAGCUAGGAAUCCAAAAUGUUUAUCUCGGAUUAAAAGUCUUAGAUCGUGGCCCAAUUGCAAAUUGUAACACCUGAUGUUCAAAAGGUUGAAAUUUCCUACUUAAUUUAUACGCUGGUUUAUCGUCUUCAGUUCAGUUUCUUUUCUUUAAGAAAACUCAGGUCAAAAGAGGUCCAGCGUAGUUGGUUCGGAAAGUUUUCAAACAAAGAAGAAGAUCCUCACAAGAUUUGGUUAGAGGAGAACAUCUUGCUAUUCUUCGGAUGGCAAGAAAUCUUUUUCCUUGCUUCUUUUUAUGAAAUAUGUCAUCUAAACACUAGCUUGUCUGCAUUUACUUUGCCUCUUCACUUUUGAGUGUCGUCAAUUAAACAACUUACUCAAAUGAAAUCCCCAAGAGACUAGCUCUGUUGAUUUUCAUCUUUUGUUUCGCCUCUCUUUCUAGAAUUCUCGGCACUUAGAAUUGAACAACGAAAUCAAAGUGAGAAGAACUUUAAUGUCCUGCGGAUGAUCUAGGCCUUUUGUGUUUGGGAUGAAGUGUUACAUCUACGGCACGAUUGCAUGAAAUUGGUUGUUUUAUUUUGUUUUUACCCCUAGAUUGCUAAUUAAUGUUUUGAACAAAGAGUCCCUGAUGUAAUACCUAUUGCAAGUUUUUACAAGGUCGGUUUCUUCUGCAUUGUUUGCUGAAUAGAAGUGCUUAGACAUAGGCCCUGUUAUGAGGUUUAUUCUGAGACAAAAUAGAACUGUUAUCGGCAUAAGGUGGUGAUCAUUGUUAAAGAAUUGUGAUUACAGUCUCCUAUUCGAGGCUUUUACUAUGUGAUGGGACCGAAAUUUUGCCUCGUCUCUUCAUCUAUAUUAUGAAAAUAUAUCUAAUUUUGCUAUUUCUUCGCAUUUGUACAACUAGGAAUAAAAAUGGUAUCGCGCAGAUGUAUCUAUUUUCGCGAACUCUAUAGUACCUGUGGUUUUGUUAUUAGUCUUUUAAUUCUGCAGUUGCAUUACAGCGCUAGUUUUGUUCAAAAUCUUGUAUUCGGGAUACUCAGAUUCUGCAGUUUUUUUUUUUUUUUUUUUUUUUUGCCCAUAGUUUUGUUUGGCAGUACAUUGAUACACCUGCUUUAGUCAUUUUAUUCAUAUAACUUAAAGCAUUUGUGGGACUAUGUUUAUUAUUGCUAAGUCGUGCAUUUUAAUUUAAUUUAUUAUUUUUUUUUAGUAAUUUGAUUGCUAGUCAUAUAAUUAUUAUUAUUAUUAUUAUUAUUAUUAUUUUUUAGGUUUUAAGGUAUUUACAUAUAAGAACUAAUAUUGUUUUGUUUAUGGUAUUUGAUUUUUGUUUUUCUAAAUCCUGCCUCUUCGCCUAUUGCAAUAUGUGCAUCACUGCGAGUGGAAGGAUUUGAUUUUACUCCAAUAGAAAAUAAGCAAUUUAUCUAUGGGUUUUACCAACUGCAGUCAUUUACAAAAUGUUAGUAAAAUUAAAGGCUUAUUUUACUGUCAAGAGGCUGCUAUCGCGGAUUGCGAAUAAUGUGGGUCGAAGAGCUAUUCGACAAUGUUAUUUAGUCAAGGAUUAAUCACUGAUAUCAUAAACAGUAAUGUUAGCGAGAUAUCAUAAAUAUGCAAGUAUUUUUUAAUUAUAUUAUAUAGCAUUAUUAUUAUAUAUUAUUAUUUUAGUAUAAUAUUUAAUUGUAAAAUGCUCAUUUGUAGACCAAAUUUGGUAGAUAUAAUUUUUCCAGUUUUACCUUUUAUAAUAGAAAUAAAAUUGGUAAAUAUUAAUCAUAAAUAAAAUUAAAAAGUGUACUAAUGAAGAAAAAAUAAAAAUAUAAAAAAAUUUACUAGAUUUAUUCAGAAUAGUAUUGGUUUACUAGUUUGCUUGUGUGUGUGUGUGUGUGUGUGUGUGUGUGAGGAAAGUAGUUGGUGCUCCGAGUCCACCCGCCAGGGGGAGCGGAGGAAGAGCACGACGACGAGUCGACGAACGCAAAACCCUUCCCCAAACCCUAGAAAAAAAGUGUCGACUACGAUGCUCAACUCCAUUCGCCAUCGCCAUCGCCAUCGCCUCCUCAGACCCCCUUCUUCUCCACACGGCCUCGCCUUCCUCUUCCUCAAAUCCCUCUCCUCCACCACCUCCUCCGUCGCCCCCCACUCCCAAACCCUAACCUUCCUCAUCGACUCCUGCGGCUUGUCCCCCGAAUCCGCCAUUUCCGCGUCCCAGAAGCUGCGCUUCAAGAGCACCGAGAACCCUAGCGCCGUCCUCCGCCUCCUCCGCGACUACGGCUUCGGCGAGACCCACAUCUACACGAUCAUCUCCAGGCACCCGAACCUGCUCUCCUGCGAUUCGCACAGGAUCCUCAGGCCGAAGAUCGAAGCUCUCCGCAGCUUCGGCUUCUCCGGCGAGUCGCUGGCGCGCGUCCUCACCGUCCAACCGGCGCUGCUGACGCGGAGCCUGGAGAAGCACAUCAUCCCCUGCCUCACCUUCCUCCGCACCCUCCUCGCCUCCGACGGCGACUUCGUCUCCGUCUUCACCCGCUACCCCCGCGGCCUCAACGCCGACCUCAACAGGUCCAUCUUGCCCAUCCUCGCCGUCCUCCGCAAGCACAACCUGCCCGAGGACAGGAUCCCUAAGCUCGUCAAGAUCCAUCCGAGAAUCCUGAUUCUCACGCUCCGCCGCGCCAUCGAGAUCGUCGACGGGCUUAAGGCCGCCGGGGUCCUGCCGUCCGACCUCCUCUUCAUCUACGCGUUCCGCGCGGUCGCCGGACAGAAGAGCGCGAGCUGGGACCGGAAGAUGGCGCUCUUCAAGAGCUUCGGGCUGUCGGAGGCCGACGUCGUUUCGGCGUUCCGGAG
RNAcentral lists this long non-coding RNA (3716 nucleotides) under Ananas comosus (pineapple). RNAcentral's name for it is "long non-coding RNA (ACOM_LNC007679)". The record is from RNAcentral. Lineage: Eukaryota; Viridiplantae; Streptophyta; Magnoliopsida; Poales; Bromeliaceae.